Hemicordylus capensis (graceful crag lizard) is the source of this 1316-nucleotide long non-coding RNA. RefSeq lists it as uncharacterized. The record is from RefSeq and is a predicted model, not a curated record. Lineage: Eukaryota; Metazoa; Chordata; Lepidosauria; Squamata; Cordylidae. The transcript has 2 exons.
UUCUUUGUUAACCUUUUUCUUGCUGUGAGCAUACCGCCUGCUCCUGUGUCCAGCAGCACCUCCCCCUUUUGGUCCUCUUCCCUUCCCCCCCCCCACCUCUUCCCCAUCCCCAGCUCCAUGAACACAUACACUUAUCUGGAUAUUGCUGACAACUCAGUCCAAGUCCCCGGACAACCUCCCCAGCAGAUUCAUGUAGAUGUUAAAAAGCAUUGGGGACAAAACCAAACCCCAUGGGAGCCCACAGGUCAAUGGCCAAGGAGCUGAGCAGUAGUCUCUCAGCACCACCUUCUGGACUCUCCCCCCAAGAAAGGACCAAAGCCACUCCAAAGCAGUGCCUCCAAUCCCUAUACUUGAGAGACAGUCCAGAAAGGAUACCAUGGUUGAUGGUAUCAAACGCUGCUGAGAGGUCCAGCAAAACCAACAGGGACGCGCUCCCCCUGUCUAGCUCCUGGCGUAGCUCAACCAUUAGAGCGACCAAGGCAGUUUCAGUCCCAUAUCCAGGAUGGAAGCCAGAUUAAAAAGAGUCUAGAUAAUCCUCCAGGCUCCCAAUGCAGCAUUCAGUCUGAAUGAAAAGUAGAAUCUAUCUAUAUUAUUAAUUCUCCAAGACAGGCCAUGCGUGGGGACGUGGUAGAAAGGAGGCGAUUGGCUGACAGAGUUUACAAGCAGAAGCACCUGAUUGGGCAGUGGGGAUUCCAUAUGCAGAUAGGGAGGAGGAGCCUGUGGCACUGUGGUGAUUGGGCGGUGGGGAUUACCUAUGCAGAUAAGGAGGAGGAGCCUGUGAUGGUUAAGGACAGUUGGAAUGCAACUGUUACUGGUCGGAAGAUGUUCUUGAUUGUAGAGGAGAGGAAGAUAGAUAGAUAGAUAGCAGGCAGGGGUCUGCAAAAAGCCUUUCGGUGAAACAGCUAUUAUCCCGGGCCGGCUGUCUUGGCUUUUCUCCGGGCAUCACUUGGCUCCUUUGUCCGCUGUUAUCAGCCACCUCAGCGCAUGUUGUCUGUUCCGUUUGAAAGUUUGCAUCAUCAGCUGAACUCCAGGCACUUUCGACAUCUUCCUGAGCCCAUCGGUCCCUUCCUCUGGAUUUGAGUAUUCACCAUUUGUUUUGUAUGUUCUUUUUACAUUUCUACAUUUGAGGACAUUUUGGACUCCAUUUGGACACCUGCACAUAUGGUUUUGUGUAUUUCGUUACUGCAUUUUGCAAUUUCAAAUGGCCUUAUGUUUAUCCAUGUUCACUUGUAUGUUACCAAUGUGGCUGUUUGCUAUAAUGUGUGUUUAUAGCUGGUUUUUCAUUUUGUUAUAAUAUACAUAUAUAUUAUUCUUUA